UGGGGAAUAUUGCACAAUGGGCGCAAGCCUGAUGCAGCCAUGCCGCGUGUGUGAAGAAGGCCUUCGGGUUGUAAAGCACUUUCAGCGGGGAGGAAGGCGGUGAGGUUAAUAACCUCACCGAUUGACGUUACCCGCAGAAGAAGCACCGGCUAACUCCGUGCCAGCAGCCGCGGUAAUACGGAGGGUGCAAGCGUUAAUCGGAAUUACUGGGCGUAAAGCGCACGCAGGCGGUCUGUCAAGUCGGAUGUGAAAUCCCCGGGCUCAACCUGGGAACUGCAUUCGAAACUGGCAGGCUAGAGUCGUGUAGAGGGGGGUAGAAUUCCAGGUGUAGCGGUGAAAUGCGUAGAGAUCUGGAGGAAUACCGGUGGCGAAGGCGGCCCCCUGGACAAAGACUGACGCUCAGGUGCGAAAGCGUGGGGAGCAAACAGG
This 429-nucleotide ribosomal RNA is filed under the name Chloroflexota bacterium. RNAcentral's name for it is "Chloroflexi bacterium partial 16S ribosomal RNA". It matches the Rfam family "Bacterial small subunit ribosomal RNA", at positions 355 to 776 of the family's 1533-position model. Lineage: Bacteria; Bacillati; Chloroflexota. The record is from RNAcentral.